This is a small nucleolar RNA of Arabidopsis thaliana (thale cress), 71 nucleotides long. It matches the Rfam family "Plant small nucleolar RNA R71". From Rfam's summary of the family: R71 is a member of the C/D box family of snoRNAs containing the C (UGAUGA) and D (CUGA) box motifs. Multiple nearly identical copies of this snoRNA have been identified in Arabidopsis, and it is thought to function as a 2'-O-ribose methylation guide for 18S ribosomal RNA. Lineage: Eukaryota; Viridiplantae; Streptophyta; Magnoliopsida; Brassicales; Brassicaceae. The record is from Rfam.
AAUUUGUGGUGAGGGCACUGAGUGGUAUAUCCUUUGAAACGUUCCCAUGCGGCAGAAAAUGAUUCAGAAGU